Molecule: ribosomal RNA, 497 nt
Filed under: uncultured bacterium
Lineage: Bacteria
Description: partial 16S ribosomal RNA
Rfam family: Bacterial small subunit ribosomal RNA
Source: RNAcentral
GACGAACGCUGGCGGCGUGCCUAAUACAUGCAAGUUGAGCGCUGAAGGUUGGUACUUGUACCGACUGGAUGAGCAGCGAACGGGUGAGUAACGCGUGGGGAAUCUGCCUUUGAGCGGGGGACAACAUUUGGAAACGAAUGCUAAUACCGCAUAAAAACUUUAAACACAAGUUUUAAGUUUGAAAGAUGCAAUUGCAUCACUCAAAGAUGAUCCCGCGUUGUAUUAGCUAGUUGGUGAGGUAAAGGCUCACCAAGGCGAUGAUACAUAGCCGACCUGAGAGGGUGAUCGGCCACAUUGGGACUGAGACACGGCCCAAACUCCUACGGGAAGCAGCAGUAGGGAAUCUUCGGCAAUUGACGAAAGUCUGACCGAGCAACGCCGCGUGAGUGAAGAAGGAUUUCGGAUCGUAAAACUCUGUUGGUAGAGAAGAACGUUGGUGAGAGUGGAAAGCUCAUCAAGUGACGGUAACUACCCAGAAAGGGACGGCUAACUACGUG